Molecule: RNA transcript, 824 nt
Organism: Rhodamnia argentea
Lineage: Eukaryota; Viridiplantae; Streptophyta; Magnoliopsida; Myrtales; Myrtaceae
Exons: 2
Source: RefSeq, a predicted model, not a curated record
AGAAAUGUCUAGACCCGAAACUGAUGCAGCCAGAACAAGGUUACCAUGUAGUCAAAGUCGGUCGGAGUCUCGACUCCACCAUGUUACCCUGAGACGUAAACCCUGCUGAUUUUUCUGUGACUUCUUUAAGGAAAGUUCAGACCUCCCCCAAUCUGCAAGGCUAGCAAAAGCAGCUUUUUUGAUGUAUCAAUAAUGGGGAGUUGUGGAAAUAAAUAAAAGAUGCUUCUUUGAUCUCUUAAAGCAAACCCCACUACUGUCAUGGCAUACUUUGCUUCGCUAUUAAACCGGGAGUGUCCUCUGACACCAAGUUUGGCAUCCUCCAUGUGCUUCUCUGCUAAGAAAUUUCAUUCCUCUCUACUUAUUGGGAAGCUGCAUUUCUUAUAACCCAAAUUCAAGAGCAAACAACUGAUUACACAGUUGCUGAUUUUGUGGGGGUACAGAGAGAGAGAGAGAGAGAUAUGUCUGCUGAUUGGGGGCCGGUUGUUGUAGCGGUGGUUUUGUUCAUACUGUUGUCACCGGGAUUGCUGUUCCAGUUACCGGCGAGAGCGAGGGUGGUGGAGUUCGGGAACAUGGCAACAAGUGGUAUCUCCAUCCUGGUUCAUGCUAUCUUGUAUUUUUGCAUACUCACCAUCCUGAUCGUGGCAAUCGGCAUUCACAUCCAUGUCAGUUGAUCCUCGCUAGGCGGUGGCGGCGGCUCAACACCGAAAGCUGAUUUCUCCGGAGCGCUGCCUUCAAUCAUGGAUAUCUUUUAGUGCUGUUUAUUUUCUCUUGUUAUUUCUUCAUAUAAGAUUCCAUUGGAUGAGGCUGUCUUUUUCUUUUCUCAA